UACGUAGGUGGCAAGCGUUGUCCGGAAUCAUUGGGCGUAAAGCGCGUGUAGGCGGCCCGGUAAGUCCGCUGUGAAAGUCGGGGGCUCAACCCUCGGAUGCCGGUGGAUACUGUCGGGCUAGAGUGCGGAAGAGGCGAGUGGAAUUCCUAGGUGUAGCGGUGAAAUGCGCAGAUAUCAGGAGGAACACCAAUUGCGAAGGCAGCUCGCUGGGACGUGACUGACGCUGAGACACGGAAAGCCAGGGGAGCGAACGGG
This 255-nucleotide ribosomal RNA is filed under the name uncultured bacterium. Its description in RNAcentral is "partial 16S ribosomal RNA". It matches the Rfam family "Bacterial small subunit ribosomal RNA", at positions 524 to 776 of the family's 1533-position model. The record is from RNAcentral.